UCAGCUUCACACACACUGCUGUUUCUGCACUUGUCUGGUCUCUCCCAUUUUCAACUCCCUUUUACAUGGGCUUUGCCCUCAACCCUAUCACAGUUGCUAAAACGACCAGCCAUUAAAUAAUUAUAGGUGACGUGAAAUAUCAUCAAAAUGCUUUGAAGUUAAUAUUUCAUCAAGUUGAAUGAGAGACACAGUCCAGUUAUCUACGUGCUAGACUGGAACCCAAAUUACCACAGGAAGUAUGCAGAGAUUUGAGUUCUACUUACAGCUCAGACACCAGCUUCUUCUAGAGCCAUGGACUCUACAAUGGAUAACAAAUAGUUAGUGAAGAACAAACUUAUUAUUCCUCCA
Long non-coding RNA from Mauremys reevesii (Reeves's turtle), 348 nucleotides. RefSeq lists it as uncharacterized. The transcript is spliced from 3 exons. Lineage: Eukaryota; Metazoa; Chordata; Testudines; Geoemydidae. The record is from RefSeq and is a predicted model, not a curated record.